This 462-nucleotide ribosomal RNA is filed under the name uncultured bacterium. RNAcentral's name for it is "SSU rRNA". It matches the Rfam family "Bacterial small subunit ribosomal RNA", at positions 26 to 520 of the family's 1533-position model. The record is from RNAcentral.
AGAAUCAACGCUGGCGGCGUGCCUAACACAUGCAAGUCGCACGAGAAAGGGGCUUCGGCUCUGAGUAAAGUGGCGCACGGGUGAGUAACACGUGAAUAAUCUACCUCCGAGUGGGGAAUAACUGAGAGAAAUCUUAGCUAAUACCGCAUAACACUUACGAGUCAAAGCAGCAAUGCGCUUGGAGAGGAGUUCGCGGCCGAUUAGUUAGUUGGCGGGGUAAUGGCCCACCAAGACGAUGAUCGGUAUCCGGCCUGAGAGGGCGCACGGACACACUGGAACUGAAACACGGUCCAGACUCCUACGGGAGGCAGCAGUGGGGGAAUUUUGCGCAAUGGGGGAAACCCUGACGCAGCAACGCCGCGUGGAGGAUGAAAUAUCUUGGUAUGUAAACUCCUUUCGAUGGGGAAGAUAAUGACGGUACCCAUAGAAGAAGCCCGGCUAACUUCGUGCCAGCAGCCGGGC